RNAcentral lists this ribosomal RNA (466 nucleotides) under uncultured bacterium. RNAcentral's name for it is "partial 16S ribosomal RNA". It matches the Rfam family "Bacterial small subunit ribosomal RNA", at positions 28 to 507 of the family's 1533-position model. The record is from RNAcentral.
GAUGAACGCUGGCGGCGUGCUUAACACAUGCAAGUCGAACGAUGAAGCCCAGCUUGCUGGGUGGAUUAGUGGCGAACGGGUGAGUAACACGUGAGUAACCUGCCCUUAACUCUGGGAUAAGCCUGGGAAACUGGGUCUAAUACCGGAUAGGAGCGUCCACCGCAUGGUGGGUGUUGGAAAGAUUUAUCGGUUUUGGAUGGACUCGCGGCCUAUCAGCUUGUUGGUGAGGUAAUGGCUCACCAAGGCGACGACGGGUAGCCGGCCUGAGAGGGUGACCGGCCACACUGGGACUGAGAAGCGGCCCAGACUGCUACGGGAGGCAGCAGUGGGGAAUAUUGCACAAUGGGCGGAAGCCUGAUGCAGCGACGCCGCGUGGGGGAUGACGGCCUUCGGGUUGUAAACCUCUUUCAGUAGGGAAGAAGCGAAAGUGACGGUACCUGCAGAAGAAGCGCCGGCUAACUACGUG